GAUGAACGCUAGCGGCAGGCCUAACACAUGCAAGUCGAGGGAGAGGUUAUCUUCGGGUAACCAAAACCGGCGCACGGGUGCGUAACGCGUAUACAAUCUGCCUUUCACCUAGGGAUAGCCCGAAGAAAUUUGGAUUAAUACCUAAUGGUAUAUAGGAGCGGCAUCGUUUUUAUAUUAAAGCUACGGUGGUGAAAGAUGAGUAUGCGUUCUAUUAGCUAGUUGGAGAGGUAACGGCUCCCCAAGGCGACGAUAGAUAGGGGUUCUGAGAGGGAUGUCCCCCACACUGGUACUGAGAUACGGACCAGACUCCUACGGGAGGCAGCAGUGAGGAAUAUUGGACAAUGGUCGGAAGACUGAUCCAGCCAUGCCGCGUGCAGGAUGAAGGUCCUAUGGAUUGUAAACUGCUUUUGUAAGGGAAGAAUAAGGAGUACGUGUACUUUGAUGACGGUACCUUACGAAUAAGCAUCGGCUAACUCCGUGCCAGCAGCCGCGGUAAUACGGAGGAUGCGAGCGUUAUCCGGAAUCAUUGGGUUUAAAGGGUCCGUAGGCGGGCUGAUAAGUCAGAGGUGAAAGCGCUUAGCUCAACUAAGCAACUGCCUUUGAAACUGUCAGUCUUGAAUGAUUGUGAAGUAGUUGGAAUGUGUAGUGUAGCGGUGAAAUGCUUAGAUAUUACACAGAACACCGAUAGCGAAGGCAUAUUACUAACAAUUUAUUGACGCUGAUGGACGAAAGCGUGGGGAGCGAACAGG
RNAcentral lists this ribosomal RNA (749 nucleotides) under uncultured Capnocytophaga sp. RNAcentral's name for it is "bacterial SSU rRNA". It matches the Rfam family "Bacterial small subunit ribosomal RNA", at positions 28 to 776 of the family's 1533-position model. The record is from RNAcentral. Lineage: Bacteria; Pseudomonadati; Bacteroidota; Flavobacteriia; Flavobacteriales; Flavobacteriaceae.